Molecule: microRNA precursor, 82 nt
Organism: Cavia porcellus (domestic guinea pig)
Lineage: Eukaryota; Metazoa; Chordata; Mammalia; Rodentia; Caviidae
Source: Rfam
UUGUGCGGUGCUUCACUCAAAAAGGUGCCAUUCAGGUAAAUUAAAAUAUGAUUGGCACUUUUUUGAGUGCAGUAGUACACAA